This 454-nucleotide small RNA is filed under the name Pongo abelii (Sumatran orangutan). RNAcentral's name for it is "processed transcript". Lineage: Eukaryota; Metazoa; Chordata; Mammalia; Primates; Hominidae. The record is from RNAcentral.
CAGCUUUUUAAACCUUGGAACUUCUUCUGUGUCAGUUCAGAGACAUACAAUUUACUAAAACACAUCAUGAAGGCCUGUUUUGAAGAGAAGGGGAGUAAGACUACAUCUAUUCAUAUGAGACAGGUAAAAUGGAAAGCAGUUAUACAAAUGCUAUACUAACUCCUCACAAAGACUACCCAAAGAUAAUAUUAUUAUCAUCUGCGUUUUUUGGUGAUCAUACUGAGGCAGAGAGCAGUUGUAAAAUGGAGUCUCAGAAUCGUCCCUAUAUGAAGCAGAAAAACUGGUUUCCUCUCUUGGCAGUCUGACUCCAAGAUCUCUUAGAAACAAUUAUACUGUAAAACCUGAAAAAGAAGUAAAAAACAAGAUUGGAGACUAAUACUAACAUCUAUUCUUCUUAAUAGAGUAAUCAAAAAUAAACAGAGAAAAAUAAAAGUGAAUAUUCAUACCAAGGGAA